CCUUCCCUCCACUCGGGGAUACCCCGUUGAAAGACGGCCUAAUACCCGAUGUUGUCCACAUAUGGCAUCUGACGUGGACCAAAGAUUCAUCGGUGGAGGAUGGGGAUGCGUCUGAUUAGCUUGUUGGUGCGGGUAACGGCCCACCAAGGCGACGAUCAGUAGGGGUUCUGAGAGGAAGGUCCCCCACAUUGGAACUGAGACACGGUCCAAACUCCUACGGGAGGCAGCAGUGAGGAAUAUUGGUCAAUGGACGUAAGUCUGAACCAGCCAAGUAGCGUGCAGGAUUGACGGCCCUAUGGGUUGUAAACUGCCUUUGUUGGGGAGUAAAGUGAGGCACGUGUGCCUUUUUGCAUUUACCCUUCGAAUAAGGACCGGCUAAUUCCGUGCCAGCAGCCGCGGUAAUACGGAAGGUCCAGGCGUUAUCCGGAUUUAUUGGGUUUAAAGGGAGUGUAGGCGGUCUGUUAAGCGUGUUGUGAAAUUUAGGUGCUCAACAUCUACCUUGCAGCGCGAACUGGCGGACUUGAGUGCACGCAACGUAUGCGGAAUUCAUGGUGUAGCGGUGAAAUGCUUAGAUAUCA
Molecule: ribosomal RNA, 578 nt
Filed under: uncultured Bacteroidales bacterium
Lineage: Bacteria; Pseudomonadati; Bacteroidota; Bacteroidia; Bacteroidales
Description: bacterial SSU rRNA
Rfam family: Bacterial small subunit ribosomal RNA
Source: RNAcentral